Molecule: ribosomal RNA, 289 nt
Filed under: uncultured prokaryote
Description: partial 16S ribosomal RNA
Rfam family: Bacterial small subunit ribosomal RNA
Source: RNAcentral
GUGUCAGCAGCCGCGGUAACACGGAGGGUGCGAGCGUUAAUCGGAAUUACUGGGCGUAAAGCGCGCGUAGGUGGCUUGAUAAGCCGGUUGUGAAAGCCCCGGGCUCAACCUGGGGACGGCAUCCGGAACUGUCAAGCUAGAGUGCAGGAGAGGAAGGUAGAAUUCCCGGUGUAGCGGUGAAAUGCGUAGAGAUCGGGAGGAAUACCAGUGGCGAAGGCGGCCUUCUGGACUGACACUGACACUGAGGUGCGAAAGCGUGGGUAGCAAACAGGAUUAGAUACCCCCGUCC